Molecule: long non-coding RNA, 3165 nt
Filed under: Ananas comosus (pineapple)
Lineage: Eukaryota; Viridiplantae; Streptophyta; Magnoliopsida; Poales; Bromeliaceae
Description: long non-coding RNA (ACOM_LNC001323)
Source: RNAcentral
GGAAAAAAAUAUUGAUUCCUUUUUCUUACGUAAAAUAAAUAACGUAAUGAAACAAACUUUUAAUUUAUGUUUAUCUCUAAAAUAGAAAAAAAAUAAACUUUUCCAAAUUUAUGCCAACUGAAAGAUAUUUAUUGUGAAUCUAUAUUUUAAUGAAAAUUUUAUAUAAUUUUUUUUACUUCUAAAAUAGAAAAAAAAAAAUUCAUGCUUAUCCAAAUUUUUGCCAGAAUAUCUACUGUAAAUCUGUAUUUCAAUUCAAAAUAUAAAAUUAAUUUAAAAUUUAAAAUUUUGGGACUAUCUAUAUAUUAUAAUGGAAAUAAUUUAAAAGAUAGAUUGGUUGAUAAAUUUGUAAAUCAUAUUUUUGAAUUAAUAUGAUAUACAAAUUUAUGAUUAAUUUGUAAAAAAUUAUCUCAAAUAAGAACAAACGAUUAUGAUUAAUUUGUUAAAAAAAACAUUCAUACCAAUCUAUAAUUUCAAUUCUACGAACGAUUAUGAUCAAUUGGUUAAAAAUAUUGAAAAUAAAAAUGAACUAUUAUGUUCAAUCUGUUAAAAAGUAGCGCUUCUAUCCAUUUAUUUUACAUUAAAAUUUAAAUUUGAGUUUAAAUUGUGAAUUAAAUUAAAUUUUUAAUUUUUGAUAUCAAAUCUAUCCAUCUAUUUUAUAUUAAAAUUUAAAUUUGAUAUUGUAAAUAUUUUCUAAUAAAAUAUACCAUAUAAAUUUAGAAAAUAUUUUAUUUUAAAUUUUUGAAUAAAUAUGAUUUGUAAUUUUUUAUUGAUUUAAAAUAUAUUAAAAUAAUUAUUACGUGCAUUUGUACGUACACUCAACUAGUAUUAAUAAAAGCACGUAUUCAAAUUUCGGUCUGUCGACAGAUCAUUUUUUGGCGGAAAAAAAAAAUUAAUUCCUCUAUUUAUUACGUAAAAUAAAUAACAGAAUUAAACAAAUUUUUAAUACCUUUUUAUUCCACAACAGAAAAAAAUCCAAAUUUUUUGCCUACCGGAGAAUAUCUCCUUAUAUAUAUAUAUAUAUAUAUAUAUAUAUAUAUAUAUAUAUAUAUUAUCUCUAUUCUAUCUACUAAUAUUUUAUUAUUAUAUUAACUGUUUAAUUUUGAUACUUUUAGUUUAAAAUAUUUAUUUAAGUUUAAAAUUUAUUAGAAUUAAAAAAUAUAUAAUGUACUAUAUCUACACUAUAUAUAAAUUUAUCAGAAAAAUAUUUAAUGUAUAUCUAUAUCUACACUAUAUAUAAAUUUUAUAAAAUAAAAAAAACUAUAUAAUUAUUGUUGACAAAAUAGAUAGGUAUUUUCUAAUAGUAUAUAUAAAUAAAUUUACUUUUUAAAAAAUUAUAAAUUUUUUAAUAAAUAUGAUGUACAAUUCAUAUUAAUUUAAAAUAAUUAUUAAAUAAUUAAUUGUUAUGUGCAUUUAUACGUACAUUCAACUAGUAUAUAUAUAUAUAUAUAUGAUGUUUUUAACUUUGUAGGGUAUUUACGAUAUUUAUAUAUUUGAUACACUCUAAAGUGGGGUAUACAUCUUACACCCACUCCAUUCUAAGGCCAUUAAUAUACUUUCGGCCCUUUUAAAUUUCGGUACGUCAACGGAUACAUUUUUUUGGUAGAAAAAUAUUUUGGUUCCUCUUUCCUUGCAUAAAAUAAAUAAUAUAAUAAAAAAUUUUAAUUUUUCUUUAUUUCUAAAAUAGAAAAAAAUUCAUGCUCAUCCAACUUGCGAAUCGGAGGAUAUUUUCUGUGAAUCUAUAUUUUAAUUCAAAAUUUAUUUAAUUCUUCAUUAUCUCUAAAACAGAAAAAAAAAAUCAUACUUAUCCAAAUUUUUAUUGUGAAUCUAUAUUUUAAUUUAAAAUUUAAAAUUUAAAAUUUUGAACUAUCAACAGAUUAUCUCAAAUAGAAAAUAAUUAACUAAUUUGAAAAUAAGCUAAAUUUAAAAGAUAGAUUGAUAUUGAUAAAUAGAUCUGUCUCCAACAACUACUUAUAUUCAAAUUAUUAAAUUGAAAAUAAAUUUGAAAUUUAAAAUUUAAAAUUUUAUUCAUAAAUUUAAAUAUGAAUUUAUUAAUUUAAAAUUUUAAAUUAAUUCAAAUUUUAAAUCAGAUUCAAAUUCAGACAAAAUUUGUAUGUUACUAAAAAGUAUUUAUAAUUUAACUAAAUUGAAAAUAUGUAAAACUUAUUCGGAGAUAAAUUAAAUUUAGAAAAACAUCAAGUAAUAAAUAAAAAAAUACCACCAAUAAUAAUUUAAUUUAAAUUUAAUUUAAUUAAAUAUGACGUAGUAUAGAAAAGCAUGCAUAUAUUAAUAUAUAUUCUAGUAUCGUACGUAAGUAUAAACAACUAAUUUCUAGACAAAGUUCAGUAUAUAUAAACAAGGGGCAAUUGCCUAUAUACCCCUGAAAAGUUUCCGGUUUUCUUAUUUACCGCUCUUAGAAGAUUAAUAUUGAAAAUACCUUCUUAUGUUCCAAGUUUUUCUAAAAUACCCCUGGAGUUAAGUUCCGUUAGUGAGCUGCCGUUAUCUCUGAAAAAUUACCAUUUUGCCCAUUUCAAUAUACCCUUGUACCGUAACAAACUUUUCUUAUAUACCCUUCAUAUAGCAAAUACUUUUCUUAUUUGCCUUUCAGCCGGAUCCGGAGCAGAGGGCGUGCAGGGGUCCGAUGGCGUUGCGGCCCUCUUGCUCCCGGCGCCGGCCAAGGCAGCGGAGGAGAAGAAGGACAAAGAGAACGGCGAGAGAUGGGAUCGUCGCUGCGGCCCUCUUGCUCUCGGCGCCGGCCAAGGCGGCAGAGGAGGUGGACGACGGCGACGACGAGAGCAGCAGUGGAAGAGGACGACGAGAGCGACGAGAGAGGUGGUGUUGGAGGUGGAGGUGUGGGAGGAGAUGAGGCGUGGUGGAGGCGGAGGAGCUGGCCAGUGGUGGCGGAAGAGCCGGCCGGUGGUGGCGACCAAGUUGGGGAAGAAAGAGAGGAUAAUCUUAGGGAUUAGUAUAAUAAGGUAGGGGCAAAAUAGGUAUUUUGUUUAGAUUUUAACUCUAGUAUAAAUUUAGCCCAUGUUUAACCCGAGUUAAGCUAACAGGGGAUAACUGCGAGGGUAUUUUGGAAUAACGGUGGAACAUAUGAGCACAUUUUAGAAAGAAAAAAAAAGAGAGGGGUAGAUCGGAUAUUUCCAAAUGCAUGAAGGGUAUAUA